UAUAUUAUAGUGUAUGAUGCACUCCAAUUUUUGACAUUGAAAGUUUAAGUUUAAUUCUUAAUAAUAUAA
RNAcentral lists this transfer RNA (69 nucleotides) under Paphnutius ruficeps. RNAcentral's name for it is "tRNA-Gln". Lineage: Eukaryota; Metazoa; Arthropoda; Insecta; Hemiptera; Cercopidae. The record is from RNAcentral.